This 64-nucleotide transfer RNA is filed under the name Chromera velia. It matches the Rfam family "tRNA", at positions 6 to 65 of the family's 71-position model. From Rfam's summary of the family: Transfer RNA (tRNA) molecules are approximately 80 nucleotides in length. Their secondary structure includes four short double-helical elements and three loops (D, anti-codon, and T loops). Further hydrogen bonds mediate the characteristic L-shaped molecular structure. tRNAs have two regions of fundamental functional importance: the anti-codon, which is responsible for specific mRNA codon recognition, and the 3' end, to which the tRNAs corresponding amino acid is attached (by aminoacyl-tRNA synthetases). tRNAs cope with the degeneracy of the genetic code in two manners: having more than one tRNA (with a specific anti-codon) for a particular amino acid; and 'wobble' base-pairing, i.e. permitting non-standard base-pairing at the 3rd anti-codon position. The record is from RNAcentral. Lineage: Eukaryota; Chromeraceae.
GAGUGAUGGUGCAGUGGCAGCACACGAGGUUCCAACCCUCUAGGCCGGGGUUCGAUUCCCCGUC